This 36-nucleotide small RNA is filed under the name Foraminifera environmental sample. RNAcentral's name for it is "partial Mitochondrion-encoded tmRNA". The record is from RNAcentral. Lineage: Eukaryota; Foraminifera.
UAAAUAUCGAUGAUUUAUUCCAAAUUUUUGAUAAUU